Molecule: non-coding RNA, 543 nt
Organism: Taeniopygia guttata (zebra finch)
Lineage: Eukaryota; Metazoa; Chordata; Aves; Passeriformes; Estrildidae
Source: RefSeq, a predicted model, not a curated record
CAACACAAACUGAAGCAGCAGGUGGGUGGGAUGAGGAAUUCCGUACUGCCUUGAGAAGGUCGUGGGUGUGCCCGAAGAUGGAAUGAAAAAACACAGAGGUGUGGCAGCAGAGCUGGCUGACCUAUGGCAAUGGUUAAACCUGGGCACCAAUUCCAGUGAGCGCCGCCUCCGGAGCAGGAAUACGUGCAGCAGCUCUCGCCCCUUGUAAUUCAUCAAGUAAAUACUGCAGGGGGUAUAAUCAGCAGAAUUAAUUCAGUUAGACUGUGUCAGAGCCUGCCAAAAACCUGUGCUUGAUGGUUCACUUCUUCAUGAGCAUUUCCAGCAAGUGUGUCUCUAGUGCUAAGAGGCUCGGGUGCUGCUGCUGCUGCAUGAGAAGCCACAGGAAUAUGCUGAGUCUUGCAAAUGCAUCCAUUUUACAGUCUAUGAAAUUCAUGCUAAUUGAUCUGAAGGAAAAGGCAGCUCCCAUCCCAUUGCCAUGUCUUCCAAGCACCUUUUAUGAACCAGCAAAAUCAAUAUGUUUCUGUAAAUAAAAUGUGAACUAUA